CGACUAGCCUUCAGCUUCCAUUGAGGACACAGUGAAGAAUGAUGCCAAGGACUAAAUCCUAACAUGGCGGGCAACAAGGACUUCAGAAAACAUCGAGUUGGUUACUUCUGUCACGAUCUGGCUGCAACACUUCAUUUGCGGGUGGACUGGAGGUUACAUGUUGACGGUGGGA
RNAcentral lists this microRNA precursor (172 nucleotides) under Danio rerio (zebrafish). RNAcentral's name for it is "Danio rerio let-7a-1 stem-loop (ENSDARG00000105504.4)". The record is from RNAcentral. Lineage: Eukaryota; Metazoa; Chordata; Actinopteri; Cypriniformes; Danionidae.